CAGGUUGAAGCGCAGGUAAAAAUGCGUGGAGGACCGAACCGGUGAGCGUUGAAAAGCUUUCGGAUGAGAUGUGGGUAGGGGUGAAAUUCCAAUCGAACGCGGAGAUAGCUGGUUCUCCCCGAAAUAGCUUUAGGGCUAGCCUCAGGUAGUAAGUAUAGGCGGUAGAGCACUGAUCGGGCUAGGGGCCAUAAAGGUUACCGAACCCUGUCAAACUCCGAAUGGAUAUACUGCAGAGCCUGGGAGUCAGACUACGAGUGAUAAGAUCCGUGGUCAAAAGGGAAACAGCCCAGACCACCGGCUAAGGUCCCAAAUGCCGUACUAAGUGGAAAAGGAUGUGGGGAUUCAUAAACAACCAGGAUGUUGGCUCAGAAGCAGCCACCAUUUAAAGAGUGCGUAAUAGCUCACUGGUCGAGAGUCCCUGCGCCGAAAAUUUCCGGGGCUAAAGUACGGAACCGAAGCCGUGGCUGUGCAUGUAAGUGCACGGGGUAGGGGAGCGUUGCCACAGGGGUGAAGCUGGUCUGGAAGGACUGGUGGACUUGUGGGAAGUGAGAAUGUUGGUAUGAGUAGCGAAAAGAAAGGUGAGAAUCCUUUCCACCGAAAGCAUAAGGAUUCCUGAGCAACGAUCGUCGUCUCAGGGUAAGUCGGGACCUAAUCCGAGGCAAAGAGCGUAGGAGAUGGACAACAGGUUGAUAUUCCUGUACCGGCAGCAAUUGUUUGAGCGAAGGAGUGACACAGAAGGGCAGGCAGGCGCGAGACUGGAUUGUCGCGUGCAAGCGUGUAGGGUAGUGUACAGGCAAAUCCGUACACUGAGAGCCUGAGGCGUUACGCGGAGCGAGCAGAGAUGCGAGCGAAGCUGCUGAUCCCACACUGUCGAGAAAAGCUUCUAGUGAGAGAGCUGCCGCCCGUACCGUAAACCGACACAGGUAUGCGGGGAGAGAAUCCUAAGGUGCGCGGGAGAACCCUCGUUAAGGAACUCGGCAAAAUGUACCCGUAACUUCGGGAUAAGGGUAGCCGUCUUGGUGAAGGAGCUUGCCUCUGGAGCUGAAGGCGGUCGCAGAGAAGAGGCCCAAGCGACUGUUUACCACAAACACAGGUGCCUGCUAAAGCGAAAGCUGACGUAUAGGUGCUGACACCUGCCCAGUGCUGGAAGGUUAAGGAAGGAUGUCCGGGCAACCAAAGCAUUCGACCGAAGCCCCAGUGAACGGCGGCCGUAACUAUAACGGUCCUAAGGUAGCGAAAUUCCUUGUCGGGUAAGUUCCGACCCGCACGAAAGGUGUAACGAUUUGGGCACUGUCUCAACGAGGGACCCGGUGAAAUUGAAAUACCUGUGAAGAUGCAGGUUACCCGCGACUGGACAGAAAGACCCCAUGGAGCUUUACUGUAACCUGACAUUGGGUUUUGUUGUAUUACGUACAGGAUAGGUGGGAGGCUUGGAAGGCUGGACGCUAGUCUGGCUGGAGCCGUCGUUGGGAUACCACCCUUGAUACAACGGAAUUCUAACCGAGAGAGUAACGAAAUCCGGGACAGUGUCAGGCGGGCAGUUUGACUGGGGCGGUCGCCUCCGAAAGAGUAACGGAGGCGCCCAAAGGUUCCCUCAGCGCGGCCGGAAAUCGCGCGAAGAGUGUAAAGGCAGAAGGGAGCUUGACUGCGAGCCAAACACGGCGAGCAGGUACGAAAGUAGGGCUUAGUGAUCCGGUGGCAUCCAAGUGGAAGGGCCAUCGCUCAACGGAUAAAAGCUACCCUGGGGAUAACAGGCUAAUCUCUCCCAAGAGUCCAUAUCGACGGGGAGGUUUGGCACCUCGAUGUCGGCUCAUCACAUCCUGGGGCUGAAGUCGGUCCCAAGGGUUGGGCUGUUCGCCCAUUAAAGUGGUACGUGAGCUGGGUUCAGAACGUCGUGAGACAGUUCGGUCCCUAUCCAUCGCGGGCG
Molecule: ribosomal RNA, 1927 nt
Filed under: human gut metagenome
Description: bacterial LSU rRNA
Rfam family: Bacterial large subunit ribosomal RNA
Source: RNAcentral